RNAcentral lists this long non-coding RNA (233 nucleotides) under Nicotiana benthamiana. Its description in RNAcentral is "long non-coding RNA (NBEN_LNC023797)". Lineage: Eukaryota; Viridiplantae; Streptophyta; Magnoliopsida; Solanales; Solanaceae. The record is from RNAcentral.
UUGCAAUGUCUCCCACGAAUGUGAAGGAGUAAUGCAAUCUCUCUAGUGGUUCUAUCUUCAUUAUAAACCGAGUUCUGAAAUCGAGCUUUGUUCCUGGCCUGCCAUAUUAAUGCUACAGCAUGCACAAAAGCAGCAGCAGUGAUGGCAUUCCUCCAUGCACGACUGCGAGCUUUACUACAGAUCCAUAGUAGUUCUCUGUCCCAGUCAAGAACUUCCCUUGAAUAGCCCAACCA